CCUACGGGUGGCAGCAGUGAGGAAUAUUGGUCAAUGGACGAGAGUCUGAACCAGCCCAGUAGCGUGAAGGAUGACUGCCCUAUGGGUUGUAAACUUCUUUUAUAUGGGAAUAAAAUGUUCCACGUGUGGGAUUUUGUAUGUACCAUAUGAAUAAGGAUAGGCUAACUCCGUGCCAGCAGCCGCGGUAAUACGGAGGAUCCGAGCGUUAUCCGGAUUUAUUGGGUUUAAAGGGAGCGUAGGUGGAUUGUUAAGUCAGUUGUGAAAGUUUGCGGCUCAACCGUAAAAUUGCAGUUGAAACUGGCAGUCUUGAGUACAGUAGAGGUGGGCGGAAUUCGUGGUGUAGCGGUGAAAUGCUUAGAUAUCACGAAGAACUCCGAUUGCGAAGGCAGUUCACUGGACUGCAACUGACACUGAGGCUCGAAAGUGUGGGUAUCAAACAGGAUUAGAUACCCUGGUAGUC
Molecule: ribosomal RNA, 460 nt
Filed under: uncultured bacterium
Lineage: Bacteria
Description: partial 16S ribosomal RNA
Rfam family: Bacterial small subunit ribosomal RNA
Source: RNAcentral